Molecule: long non-coding RNA, 278 nt
Organism: Heteronotia binoei (common prickly gecko)
Lineage: Eukaryota; Metazoa; Chordata; Lepidosauria; Squamata; Gekkonidae
Exons: 3
Source: RefSeq, a predicted model, not a curated record
CAAAGGGGCAUUUGUUUUGCCUGCAUUCCAGCACUUGGUGUGGGUAGAUCAGAUAUAUGAUUUAGCUUGGGAGUAGCUGGGAGAGAAGAUAGGAAGGUUGUACAGAUCAUCAUCCCAGUUCCUGUUACAUAAUUAGUUGCAGCUGUUGGAGACUGUACCAGCUGAUGCCAGGAAGUAUCUCCAACAGGUUUGGAAGAAGCCACCUGCAUUAUCUGGUCCAUCACCAUUUUACCAUAUUUUUCCAUGCCAUCAGCUAUUUUAUUGAUACUGAAGUUCUG